Molecule: transfer RNA, 20 nt
Filed under: Zabrus curtus neglectus
Lineage: Eukaryota; Metazoa; Arthropoda; Insecta; Coleoptera; Carabidae
Description: partial tRNA-Leu
Source: RNAcentral
UCUAAUAUGGCAGAUUAUUG